UCUUGGUUCAGGACGAACGCUGGCGGCGUGCUUCAUACAUGCAAGUCGAACGAGAAGCUGACUUCGGUCAGUGGAAAGUGGCGGACGGGUGAGUAAAAUGUAGAGAAUCUGCCCUUAGCGGGGGACAACAGUUGGAAACGACUGCUAAUACCCCAUAUGAGCGUAGCUGAGAUGCUAUUCUUGAAAACUCCGGUGCUAGAGGAUGAGUCUGCAUCUGAUUAGCUAGUAGGCGGUGUAAUGGACCACCUAGGCGACGAUCAGUAGCUGGUUUGAGAGGAUGAUCAGCCACAAUGGGACUGAGACACGGCCCAUACUCCUACGGGAGGCAGCAGUAGGGAAUUUUGCGCAAUGGGGGAAACCCUGACGCCAGCAACGCCGCGUGAUUGAAGAAGCCCUUCGGGGUGUAAAGAUCUGUCAGUGGGGACGAAACUUGACGGUACCCACAGAGGAAGCAUCGGCUAACUCCGUGCCAGCCGCGGC
Molecule: ribosomal RNA, 480 nt
Filed under: uncultured bacterium
Lineage: Bacteria
Description: bacterial SSU rRNA
Rfam family: Bacterial small subunit ribosomal RNA
Source: RNAcentral